Molecule: ribosomal RNA, 301 nt
Filed under: uncultured bacterium
Lineage: Bacteria
Description: partial 16S ribosomal RNA
Rfam family: Bacterial small subunit ribosomal RNA
Source: RNAcentral
CAGCAGCCGCGGGAAUACGAAGGGGGCUAGCGUUGUUCGGAAUUACUGGGCGUAAAGCGCACGUAGGCAGAUAUUUAAGUCAGGGGUGAAAUCCCGCAGCUCAACUGCGGAACUGCCUUUGAUACUGGGUAUCUUGAGUAUGGAAGAGGUUAGUGGAAUUGCGAGUGUAGAGGUGAAAUUCGUAGAUAUUCGCAGGAACACCAGUGGCGAAGGCGGCUAACUGGUCCAUAACUGACGCUGAGGUGCGAAAGCGUGGGGAGCAAACAGGAUUAGAUACCCCAGUAGUCCCUGUCUCUUAUAC